RNAcentral lists this signal recognition particle RNA (265 nucleotides) under Actinomycetes bacterium. RNAcentral's name for it is "Actinobacteria bacterium signal recognition particle sRNA large type". It matches the Rfam family "Bacterial large signal recognition particle RNA". Rfam says of the family: The signal recognition particle (SRP) is a universally conserved ribonucleoprotein involved in the co-translational targeting of proteins to membranes. Archaeal SRP consists of a 7S RNA and homologues of the eukaryotic SRP19 and SRP54 proteins. In most bacteria, the SRP consists of a 4.5S RNA and the Ffh protein (a homologue of the eukaryotic SRP54 protein). The record is from RNAcentral. Lineage: Bacteria; Bacillati; Actinomycetota; Actinomycetes.
UCGCGCUAGGUGGGGAGGCAGCGGUUCCCUGAACCCGAAAUCCGCUCCAGCGGGGCCGAACGCCGUCCGAGGGACGGCUUGGUCGGGAUUGGAUCGGCGCACGUGGCGUUGACAGAUCGGGUCCCGCGCACGGAGAGCGUUCGAACCGCGUCAGGUCCGGAAGGAAGCAGCGCUAAGGACUCCCUCUUCGGUGUAGCGGUCACCGCCCGAUCCGAGCCGGCGGCGCAGACACCUCCGGCGGAGCCGUGACGACGACGGAGCGUGC